This 23-nucleotide unclassified non-coding RNA is filed under the name Mus musculus (house mouse). Its description in RNAcentral is "oocyte_clustered_small_RNA3252". The record is from RNAcentral. Lineage: Eukaryota; Metazoa; Chordata; Mammalia; Rodentia; Muridae.
AGGGUUGAGGUUAGCAGGCGGAG